Molecule: long non-coding RNA, 611 nt
Filed under: Rattus norvegicus (Norway rat)
Lineage: Eukaryota; Metazoa; Chordata; Mammalia; Rodentia; Muridae
Description: long non-coding RNA NONRATT013861
Source: RNAcentral
CCCUGCUGGCUCAGUAAGACAGGUACCUUCCCCAAGAACUCCUAUGGAACUAACAUUUCAGGAGGGUUUAGGCCCUGUGCCUGCCAUCACCCUAGAAAGGAAUUAGCAUCUGCUGGAUGGGCCAGGUCUAGACUAUUUGGCCACAAUGUCCUGGGACAGUGUCAAUCCUACCCGGAUUUCAUGGGAUGGCUUCUCACAGGAAAGAGAUCCCAUUGCCAGAAGAAGCUGAGAACAGAUGCCGAGCAGACAAAACAACAGAUGCCCACUACAUUUAUGGGUGAAAAGAAAAAGAUGUUUGCAGGGCAUCAUACACAGGCUAAGCCACCAUCGAGAGCCUCUUGCUCAUACACUCAGAGAUGAAACAUGUCCUCCUGCCCCUCCCUAUUGUAAAAAUUAAAUUUGAAAUUCAAGAGGAUCAUUUGUUUCCCAGGUUCAAAUGUGAGUUUGGGGCCUGGUGGGGGUAGCAGCAAUAGUACACACCAUUAAUCCCAGCACUCAGAAGGCAGAGGCAAGUGGAUCUCUGAGUUCAAGGCAAGCCUGAUCUACAGGGUAACUUCCAGGACAGCCAUGGCUACACAGAGAAACCCCUUCUCAAAAAAAAAAAAUCAAAA